AAAAAAGCCGGAAUAGCUCAGUUGGUAGAGCAGAGGACUGAA
RNAcentral lists this transfer RNA (42 nucleotides) under Sarmentypnum exannulatum. Its description in RNAcentral is "partial tRNA-Phe". Lineage: Eukaryota; Viridiplantae; Streptophyta; Bryopsida; Hypnales; Amblystegiaceae. The record is from RNAcentral.